GGCCAUAUGGUGGUAUUCAUAUACAAACAAAUUCAAUGUCAUCUUCCAGUUAAUUGUCGAUUUUCUUAUUUUGUAUUUUAACAUCAUGCGGGAGUAUCACUAGUAAGCAUUGGCUCUUAGAUAUCUUAAUCGAGUAACCAAUACACAAUGUACAAUAUCACCCCUGCGAAUGUGUUCGGAAUGUUUUCUUUAUCGUUGCCAAGUAUGUAAUAAAUCCAGAGCUGCUCGAAUGAAAGUUCACGAUACUUCACCGAGAUUUGUUCAGUUCCUGUGAAAUUUCAAGCGGAAGUUUAAGUGUUCAGAUAAACUUCUCAAAAUACAAAGAGCCAUACCGAUGUAGCAUGACGAUAUUCAAUGUCAAUGAAACAUAUUCAACAAACGCCGAGAAGAAAAAGUUAAGGAACCGAUUCCCAGCCAAAGAUGUCGCCAUUAAGGUCAAUCCAAAAUAAGUCAGAUUAUCUGUAACCC
Molecule: long non-coding RNA, 468 nt
Organism: Magallana angulata
Lineage: Eukaryota; Metazoa; Mollusca; Bivalvia; Ostreida; Ostreidae
Exons: 2
Source: RefSeq, a predicted model, not a curated record